This 497-nucleotide ribosomal RNA is filed under the name uncultured bacterium. Its description in RNAcentral is "partial 16S ribosomal RNA". It matches the Rfam family "Bacterial small subunit ribosomal RNA", at positions 28 to 507 of the family's 1533-position model. The record is from RNAcentral.
GAUGAACGCUGGCGGCGUGCCUAAUACAUGCAAGUCGAGCGAACAGAUGAGGGGCUUGCUCCUCUGACGUUAGCGGCGGACGGGUGAGUAACACGUGGAUAACCUACCUAUAAGACUGGGAUAACUUCGGGAAACCGGAGCUAAUACCGGAUAAUAUAUUAAACCGCAUGGUUAAUUAGUGAAAAACGGUUUUGCUGUCACUUAUAGAUGGAUCCGCGCCGCAUUAGCUAGUUGGUAAGGUAACGGCUUACCAAGGCAACGAUGCGUAGCCGACCUGAGAGGGUGAUCGGCCACACUGGAACUGAGACACGGUCCAGACUCCUACGGGAGGCAGCAGUAGGGAAUCUUCCGCAAUGGGCGAAAGCCUGACGGAGCAACGCCGCGUGAGUGAUGAAGGUCUUCGGAUCGUAAAACUCUGUUAUUAGGGAAGAACAAAUGUGUAAGUAACUAUGCACGUCUUGACGGUACCUAAUCAGAAAGCCACGGCUAACUACGUG